AAUGGGCGAAAGCCUGAUCCAGCAACGCCGCGUGAGGGAUGACGGCCUUCGGGUUGUAAACCUCUUUCAGUAUCGACGAAGCGCCCUGUCGGGUGGUGACGGUAGAUACAGAAGAAGGACCGGCCAACUACGUGCCAGCAGCCGCGGUAAUACGUAGGGUCCGAGCGUUGUCCGGAAUUAUUGGGCGUAAAGGGCUCGUAGGCGGUUUGUCGCGUCGGGAGUGAAAUCUUACAGCUUAACUGUGAACUUGCUUUCGAUACGGGCAGACUUGAGGCAUUCAGGGGAGAACGGAAUUCCUGGUGUAGCGGUGAAAUGCGCAGAUAUCAGGAGGAACACCGGUGGCGAAGGCGGUUCUCUGGGAAUGUUCUGACGCUGAGGAGCGAAAGUGUGGGGAGCGAA
Molecule: ribosomal RNA, 399 nt
Filed under: uncultured bacterium
Lineage: Bacteria
Description: bacterial SSU rRNA
Rfam family: Bacterial small subunit ribosomal RNA
Source: RNAcentral